Molecule: unclassified non-coding RNA, 21 nt
Filed under: Mus musculus (house mouse)
Lineage: Eukaryota; Metazoa; Chordata; Mammalia; Rodentia; Muridae
Description: oocyte_clustered_small_RNA2300
Source: RNAcentral
AGUCAGAUCUCUUCCUAGAAG